GACGAACGCUGGCGGCGUGCUUAACACAUGCAAGUCGAACGGAAAGGCCCUGCUUGCAGGGUGCUCGAGUGGCGAACGGGUGAGUAACACGUGGGUGAUUUGCCCCUUACUUUGGGAUAAGCCUGGGAAACUGGGUCUAAUACUGGAUAGGACCAUGCUGUAGGUGGUGUGGUGGAGAGAUUAGUUUCGGUAAGGGAUGAGCUCGCGGCCUAUCCGCUUGUUGGUGGGGUAAUGGCCUACCAAGGCGUCGACGGGUAGCCGGCCUGAGAGGGUGGACGGCCAGGUUGGGACUGCGAUGGGAGGCAGACGCCGGCAGGAUGGAGCAGUGGGGGAUAGUGCGAAAUAGGCGCAAGGCGGGUGCGGCGACGGCGUGUGGGGGGUGAAGGCCUUCGGUUGGUAAACAACAUCCGGCGAUGACGAAGCCGUUGUGGUGACGGUAGUGGUAGAAGAAGCACCGGCUAACUACGUG
Molecule: ribosomal RNA, 469 nt
Filed under: uncultured bacterium
Lineage: Bacteria
Description: partial 16S ribosomal RNA
Rfam family: Bacterial small subunit ribosomal RNA
Source: RNAcentral